RNAcentral lists this ribosomal RNA (465 nucleotides) under uncultured bacterium. RNAcentral's name for it is "partial 16S ribosomal RNA". It matches the Rfam family "Bacterial small subunit ribosomal RNA", at positions 338 to 795 of the family's 1533-position model. The record is from RNAcentral.
CCUACGGGUGGCAGCAGUAGGGAAUCUUCCACAAUGGGCGAAAGCCUGAUGGAGCAACGCCGCGUGGGUGAAGAAGGUCUUCGGAUCGUAAAACCCUGUUGUUAGAGAAGAAAGUGCGUGCGAGUAACUGUUCACGUUUCGACGGUAUCUAACCGGAACGCCACGGCUAACUACGUGCCAGCAGCCGCGGUAAUACGUAGGUGGCAAGCGUUAUCCGGAUUUAUUGGGCGUAAAGGGAACGCAGGCGGUCUUUUAAGUCUGAUGUGAAAGACUUCGGCUUAACCGGAGUAGUGCAUCGGAAACUGGGAGACGUGAGUGCAGAAGAGGAGAGCGGAAAUCGAUGUGUAGCGGUGAAAUGCGUAGAUAUAAGGAAGAACACCAGUGGCGAAAGCGGCUUUCUGGUCUGCAACUGACGCUGAGGCUCGAAAGCGUGGGUAGCAAACAGGAUUAGAUACCCGGGUAGUC